ACGGGUGAGUAAUGUCUGGGAAACUGCCUGAUGGAGGGGGAUAACUGCUGGAAACGGUAGCUAAUACCGCAUAACGUCGCAAGACCAAAGAGGGGGACCUUCGGGCCUCUUGCCAUCGGACGUGCCCAGAUGGGAUUAGCUAGUAGGUGGGGUAACGGCUCACCUAGGCGACGAUCCCUAGCUGGUCUGAGAGGAUGACCAGCCACACUGGAACUGAGACACGGUCCAG
RNAcentral lists this ribosomal RNA (229 nucleotides) under uncultured bacterium. RNAcentral describes it as "partial 16S ribosomal RNA". It matches the Rfam family "Bacterial small subunit ribosomal RNA", at positions 102 to 334 of the family's 1533-position model. The record is from RNAcentral.